GACGAACGCUGGCGGCGCGCCUAACACAUGCAAGUCGAACGAGCGAGAGAGAGCUUGCUUUCUCGAGCGAGUGGCGAACGGGUGAGUAACGCGUGAGGAACCUGCCUCAAAGAGGGGGACAACAGUUGGAAACGACUGCUAAUACCGCAUAAGCCCACGACCCGGCAUCGGGUAGAGGGAAAAGGAGCAAUCCGCUUUGAGAUGGCCUCGCGUCCGAUUAGCUAGUUGGUGAGGUAACGGCCCACCAAGGCGACGAUCGGUAGCCGGACUGAGAGGUUGAACGGCCACAUUGGGACUGAGACACGGCCCAGACUCCUACGGGAGGCAGCAGUGGGGAAUAUUGCACAAUGGGGGAAACCCUGAUGCAGCGACGCCGCGUGGAGUAAGAAGGUCUUCGGAUUGUAAACUCCUGUUGUUGAGGAAGAUAAUGACGGUACUCAACAAGGAAGUGACGGCUAACUACGUG
RNAcentral lists this ribosomal RNA (466 nucleotides) under uncultured bacterium. RNAcentral describes it as "partial 16S ribosomal RNA". It matches the Rfam family "Bacterial small subunit ribosomal RNA", at positions 28 to 507 of the family's 1533-position model. The record is from RNAcentral.